GCGGAAGUGGCGGAAUGGCAGACGCGCUGUCUUCAGGCGGCAGUUCUUAAUCGAGUGUGGGUUCAAAUCCCAUCUUCCGCA
Molecule: transfer RNA, 81 nt
Filed under: Aerococcus urinaehominis
Lineage: Bacteria; Bacillati; Bacillota; Bacilli; Lactobacillales; Aerococcaceae
Rfam family: tRNA
About the family: Transfer RNA (tRNA) molecules are approximately 80 nucleotides in length. Their secondary structure includes four short double-helical elements and three loops (D, anti-codon, and T loops).
Source: Rfam by way of RNAcentral